UACGUAGGGGGCAAGCGUUGUCCGGAUUUAUUGGGCGUAAAGAGCGUGUAGGCGGCCAGGUAGGUCGGUUGUGAAAACUGGAGGCUUAACCUCCAGACGUCGACCGAAACCAUCUGGCUAGAGUCCGGAAGAGGAGAGUGGAAUUCCUGGCGUAGCGGUGAAAUGCGCAGAUAUCAGGAGGAACACCAGCGGCGAAGGCGGCGCUCUGGGCCGGUACUGACACUGAGGAGCGAAAGCGUGGGUAGCAAACAGG
This 253-nucleotide ribosomal RNA is filed under the name uncultured bacterium. RNAcentral's name for it is "partial 16S ribosomal RNA". It matches the Rfam family "Bacterial small subunit ribosomal RNA", at positions 524 to 776 of the family's 1533-position model. The record is from RNAcentral.